ACUCCCUUCGUCUUUCUUUCUCUUCUUUCGGGUUGGCUGUGCACCCAUUUUUCUACGGGUCGACCCAUUUGUGAUUUUCACUUUUCCCUUUUAUUAUUCUUUCCCUUCUUAUCAUUUCAGCUCCUCACGACCACAUGUUAACUCUUCCUUCUCUCUUUGACAAAAAAACACAAACCAAGCUUUGCUGUGGGUGGUCUUCAAGCUCCCACAGACCCAUCUUCAAAUCUAUCAAAUUUUCAACAAGUGAACUAGGCAUGGAAGGAGUAGGUGAUGAAAUCAGCUAUCAUCAUUACACGAAAGAUCUUGAACUCGGCAUCUUAUAGUCAUCUAUUCCAUUGUUCUAAAGUUGAAAUCAAGGCUGGGUAUCUCGAAUUUGAACAAAUUCCACUCUAACGGAGCUGUAUAAUGACUGGGUAACCUUGAAUUGCAGCAAUUAUAUGAGGCCCCAA
This is a long non-coding RNA of Rosa chinensis, 449 nucleotides long. RefSeq lists it as uncharacterized. NCBI's taxonomy places the organism in Eukaryota, Viridiplantae, Streptophyta, Magnoliopsida, Rosales, Rosaceae. The record is from RefSeq and is a predicted model, not a curated record. The transcript has 3 exons.